AUGCGUGCCAGAGCUGCAAGCCGUGGUACACCAGAGCUACAACCGGAGACGCCCAUCGCCGGCAAGGCUGCAACCGGCACGAGGCAGUGCUACAACCGGUGUCCAGCGAGCUGCAAGCGACACAACGGCAAGCUUCAAACCUGCUGGGUCACCAUGCUGGUGAUGGCGACCAUGCCUGCGAGGGGAGCUGCAACCAUGUGGUGGCGAGCUGCGGUGACGGACGUGGGGGGGCAGUGA
RNAcentral lists this ribosomal RNA (237 nucleotides) under Triticum aestivum (bread wheat). RNAcentral's name for it is "partial small subunit ribosomal RNA". The record is from RNAcentral. Lineage: Eukaryota; Viridiplantae; Streptophyta; Magnoliopsida; Poales; Poaceae.